RNAcentral lists this ribosomal RNA (566 nucleotides) under Metschnikowia bicuspidata. Its description in RNAcentral is "partial large subunit ribosomal RNA". It matches the Rfam family "Eukaryotic large subunit ribosomal RNA", at positions 37 to 664 of the family's 3401-position model. The record is from RNAcentral. Lineage: Eukaryota; Fungi; Ascomycota; Pichiomycetes; Serinales; Metschnikowiaceae.
UGCAUUUUUCAAUAGCGGAGGAAAAGAAACCAACAGGGAUUGCCUCAGUAACGGCGAGUGAAGCGGCAAAAGCUCAAAUUUGAAAUCCUCCGGGAAUUGUAAUUUGAAGGUGGUCUCAGUUAGUUCAAACAUUCUUAAGUCCAUUGGAAAAUGGCGCCAUGGAGGGUGAUAGCCCCGUAAAGAAUCCGUUUUGUUCUAUUUUCUUUGACCACCAAAGAGUCGAGUUGUUUGGGAAUGCAGCUCUAAGUGGGUGGUAAAUUCCAUCUAAAGCUAAAUAUUGGCGAGAGACCGAUAGCGAACAAGUACAGUGAUGGAAAGAUGAAAAGCACUUUGAAAAGAGAGUGAAAAAGUACGUGAAAUUGUUGAAAGGGAAGGGCUUGCAAGCAGACACAACCUUUUGGUUGGGCCAGCAUCGGGGCGAGGGGAAGGAAAAAAGAAAAGGAAAUGUAACUCUCGAGUAUUAUAGACCUCUUCCAAAACUUCCAUCUCAUCCCGAGGCCUGCGGAUUCAUCCUAGGAUGCUGGCGUAAUGGUUGCAAGUCGCCCGUCUUGAACCAACGGGACCAA